This 296-nucleotide ribosomal RNA is filed under the name uncultured Enterobacteriaceae bacterium. RNAcentral describes it as "partial 16S ribosomal RNA". It matches the Rfam family "Bacterial small subunit ribosomal RNA", at positions 40 to 352 of the family's 1533-position model. Lineage: Bacteria; Pseudomonadati; Pseudomonadota; Gammaproteobacteria; Enterobacterales; Enterobacteriaceae. The record is from RNAcentral.
CGGCAGGCCUAACACAUGCAAGUCGAGCGGUAGGGAAGCUUGCUUCCCACGAGCGGCGGACGGGUGAGUAAUGUAUGGGGAUCUGCCCGAUAGAGGGGGAUAACUACUGGAAACGGUAGCUAAUACCGCAUAAUCUCUCAGGAGCAAAGCAGUUCGUUGCGCUAUCGGAUGAACCCAUAUGGGAUUAGCUAGUUGGUGAGGUAAUGGCUCACCAAGGCGACGAUCCCUAGCUGGUCUGAGAGGAUGAUCAGCCACACUGGGACUGAGACACGGCCCAGACUCCUACGGGAGGCAGC